Molecule: ribosomal RNA, 429 nt
Filed under: Pseudomonadota bacterium
Lineage: Bacteria; Pseudomonadati; Pseudomonadota
Description: Proteobacteria bacterium partial 16S ribosomal RNA
Rfam family: Bacterial small subunit ribosomal RNA
Source: RNAcentral
UGGGUAAUAUUGGACAAUGGGCGAAAGCCUGAUCCAGCCAUGCCGCGUGUGUGAAGAAGGUCUUCGGAUUGUAAAGCUCUUUAAGUUGGGAGGAAGGGCAGUAAGCGAAUACCUUGCUGUUUUGACGUUACCGACAGAAUAAGCACCGGCUAACUCUGUGCCAGCAGCCGCGGUAAUACAGAGGGUGCAAGCGUUAAUCGGAAUUACUGGGCGUAAAGCGCGCGUAGGUGGUUCGUUAAGUUGAAUGUGAAAGCCCCGGGCUCAACCUGGGAACUGCAUCCAAAACUGGCGAGCUAGAGUAGGGCAGAGGGUGGUGGAGUUUCCUGUGUAGCAGUGAAAAGCGUAGCGAUAGGAAAGAACACCAAUGGCGAAGGCGACCACCUGGGCUCAUACUGACACUGAGGUGCGAAAGCGUGGGGAGCAAACAGG